This 253-nucleotide ribosomal RNA is filed under the name uncultured bacterium. RNAcentral's name for it is "partial 16S ribosomal RNA". It matches the Rfam family "Bacterial small subunit ribosomal RNA", at positions 524 to 776 of the family's 1533-position model. The record is from RNAcentral.
UACAGAGGUCUCAAGCGUUGUUCGGAUUCAUUGGGCGUAAAGGGCGCGUAGGUGGCGCCGUAAGUCAGGUGUGAAAUCUCGGGGCUUAACUCCGAAACUGCAUUUGAUACUGCGGUGCUUGAGGACUGGAGAGGAGACUGGAAUUUAUGGUGUAGCAGUGAAAUGCGUAGAUAUCAUAAGGAAGACCAGUGGCGAAGGCGGGUCUCUGGACAGUUCCUGACACUGAGACACGAAGGCCAGGGGAGCAAACGGG